AUGAAUGAUUUAGUUUUUGUCAUGUACAAUUCCAAACUGAUGAGCAGACAACGCAGAAGGCAAAGACAGGUUGUGGAAUAUGAUAUUGAUGAUGUCUCUUCUGAUGAUGAAUGGAUAACUGAAAAAGAAGAGCCUGUCCUUCCUCCACAAAAGGAAUGGAUCCGUUCUCUUGAGAGGAUUGCUCAUAACGAAGCUGCUAUGGACAAAGAAAAUGAAAGUAACAUUGAAAAUGAUGUAGAAAAUAUUGUCAACAGCCUGGCUGAAACACAUAUGAAAAGUUCUUUUGAUGAAGUGAUGGUGAUCUCGGGAUGGAUCAAGAUCUUGAUGCACCUACUUAUGAAGAUGCUGAUGGUGAAAACAACAAUACCAGCGAGCAAAAUGUUCUUGAUGGCAACAAUUCAGGACCUUCCUCGUACUGUGUUGGGAGUUCUAGUGGUACAAUACCACCUAUGA
RNAcentral lists this ribosomal RNA (453 nucleotides) under Triticum aestivum (bread wheat). RNAcentral describes it as "partial small subunit ribosomal RNA". Lineage: Eukaryota; Viridiplantae; Streptophyta; Magnoliopsida; Poales; Poaceae. The record is from RNAcentral.